RNAcentral lists this ribosomal RNA (409 nucleotides) under uncultured bacterium. RNAcentral's name for it is "bacterial SSU rRNA". It matches the Rfam family "Bacterial small subunit ribosomal RNA", at positions 99 to 518 of the family's 1533-position model. The record is from RNAcentral.
CGGACGGGUGAGUAACGCGUGAAUGAUCUGUCCCUCACAGGGGAAUAACACUUGGAAACAGGUGCUAAUACCGCAUAAGACCACGGUGCUGCAUGGCACUGAGGUAAAAGGAGCGAUCCGGUGAGGGGUGAGUUCGCGUCCGAUUAGCCAGUUGGCGGGGUAAGAGCCCCACCAAAGCGACGAUCGGUAGCCGACCUGAGAGGGUGAUCGGCCACACUGGAACUGAGACACGGUCCAGACUCCUACGGGAGGCAGCAGUGGGGAAUAUUGGGCAAUGGGCGAAAAAGCCUGACCCAGCAACGCCGCGUGAGGGAAGAAGGUUUUCGGAUUGUAAACCUCUAUCGCAGGGGACGAAGGAAGUGACGGUACCCUGCAAGGAAGCCCCGGCUAACUACGUGCCAGCCGCCGC